UAGGCACAAUGGUUCGUUGCUAUUUAGAGACUUUCUCUUCAAGCUCAAUUUUCCUCCCACUGUCUCUGUCAAGGAUAAACUAUUUCCAUGAAGAUAGCAUCUAGGCUCACAAACACUUUGUGAUCCUUUGGGAUGAAAAGUCGUAUCCUAAUGACUCUUUAGGAUAUCCUAUAAAACGAGCAUUAAUUGUCCUAUCCUCUAGCUUGUCUGCCU
RNAcentral lists this long non-coding RNA (213 nucleotides) under Phoenix dactylifera (date palm). RNAcentral's name for it is "long non-coding RNA (PDAC_LNC011336)". The record is from RNAcentral. Lineage: Eukaryota; Viridiplantae; Streptophyta; Magnoliopsida; Arecales; Arecaceae.